RNAcentral lists this ribosomal RNA (517 nucleotides) under uncultured Staphylococcus sp. Its description in RNAcentral is "partial 16S ribosomal RNA". Lineage: Bacteria; Bacillati; Bacillota; Bacilli; Caryophanales; Staphylococcaceae. The record is from RNAcentral.
CACGUAGUUAGCCGUGGCUUCCUGAUUAGGUACCGUCAAGAUGUGCACAGUUACUUACACAUUUGUUCUUCCCUAAUAACAGAGUUUUACGAGCCGAAACCCUUCAUCACUCACGCGGCGUUGCUCCGUCAGGCUUUCGCCCAUUGCGGAAGAUUCCCUACUGCUGCCUCCCGUAGGAGUCUGGACCGUGUCUCAGUUCCAGUGUGGCCGAUCACCCUCUCAGGUCGGCUACGUAUCGUCGCCUUGGUAAGCCGUUACCUUACCAACUAGCUAAUACGGCGCGGGUCCAUCUAUAAGUGAUAGCAAAACCAUCUUUCACUUUAGAACCAUGCGGUUCUAAAUGUUAUCCGGUAUUAGCUCCGGUUUCCCGAAGUUAUCCCAGUCUUAUAGGUAGGUUACCCACGUGUUACUCACCCGUCCGCCGCUAACUUCAAAGGAGCAAGCUCCUUAUCUGUUCGCUCGACUUGCAUGUAUUAGGCACGCCGCCAGCGUUCAUCCUGAGCCAGGAUCAAACUCU